UACGGGGGGAGCAAACGUUGUUCGGAAUCACUGGGCGUAAAGGGUGCGUAGGUGGUGAGGUAAGUCGGAUGUGAAAGCUCGGAGCUCAACUCCGAAACUGCAUUUGAUACUGGCGUGCUUGAGGACUGGAGAGGAGACUGGAAUUCAUGGUGUAGCAGUGAAAUGCGUAGAGAUCAUGAGGAAGACCAGUGGCGAAGGCGGGUCUCUGGACAGUUCCUGACACUGAGACACGAAGGCCAGGGGAGCAAACGGG
RNAcentral lists this ribosomal RNA (253 nucleotides) under uncultured bacterium. RNAcentral's name for it is "partial 16S ribosomal RNA". It matches the Rfam family "Bacterial small subunit ribosomal RNA", at positions 524 to 776 of the family's 1533-position model. The record is from RNAcentral.